AGAAUCAACGCUGGCGGCGUGCCUAACACAUGCAAGUCGAACGAGAAAGUGGAGCAAUCCAUGAGUAAAGUGGCGCACGGGUGAGUAACACGUGACUAACCUACCCUUGAGUGGGGGAUAACCUAGAGAAAUCUGGGCUAAUACCGCAUAAUACCUUCGGGUCAAAGGAGCAAUUCGCUUAAGGAGGGGGUCGCGGCCGAUUAGUUAGUUGGCGGGGUAAUGGCCCACCAAGACUGUGAUCGGUAUCCGGCCUGAGAGGGCGCACGGACACACUGGAACUGAAACACGGUCCAGACUCCUACGGGAGGCAGCAGUGGGAAUUUUGCGCAAUGGGGGAAACCCUGACGCAGCAACGCCGCGUGGAGGAUGAAGCCCCGUUGGGGCGUAAACUCCUUUCGAUCGGGAAGAUAAUGACGGUACCGAGAGAAGAAGCCCGGCUAACUUCGCGCCAGCAGCCGC
Molecule: ribosomal RNA, 459 nt
Filed under: uncultured bacterium
Lineage: Bacteria
Description: SSU rRNA
Rfam family: Bacterial small subunit ribosomal RNA
Source: RNAcentral